This 163-nucleotide ribosomal RNA is filed under the name Chaerophyllum procumbens. Its description in RNAcentral is "5.8S ribosomal RNA". It matches the Rfam family "5.8S ribosomal RNA". From Rfam's summary of the family: 5.8S ribosomal RNA (5.8S rRNA) is a component of the large subunit of the eukaryotic ribosome. It is transcribed by RNA polymerase I as part of the 45S precursor that also contains 18S and 28S rRNA. The record is from RNAcentral. Lineage: Eukaryota; Viridiplantae; Streptophyta; Magnoliopsida; Apiales; Apiaceae. RNAcentral also lists the same sequence under 1 other name.
AAAUGACUCUCGGCAACGGAUAUCCCGGCUCUCGCAUCGAUGAAGAACGUAGCGAAAUGCGAUACUUGGUGUGAAUUGCAGAAUCCCGUGAACCAUUGAGUCUUUGAACGCAAGUUGCGCCCGAAGCCACCAGGCUGAGGGCACGUCUGCCUGGGUGUCACGC